Molecule: ribosomal RNA, 622 nt
Filed under: Trametes versicolor
Lineage: Eukaryota; Fungi; Basidiomycota; Agaricomycetes; Polyporales; Polyporaceae
Description: eukaryotic LSU rRNA
Rfam family: 5.8S ribosomal RNA (bases 216-369)
Source: RNAcentral
UCCGUAGGUGAACCUGCGGAAGGAUCAUUAACGAGUUUUGAAACGAGUUGUAGCUGGCCUUCCGAGGCAUGUGCACGCUCUGCUCAUCCACUCUACCCCUGUGCACUUACUGUAGGUUGGCGUGGGCUCCUUUGCGGGAGCAUUCUGCCGGCCUAUGUAUACUACAAACACUUUAAAGUAUCAGAAUGUAAACGCGUCUAACGCAUCUAUAAUACAACUUUUAGCAACGGAUCUCUUGGCUCUCGCAUCGAUGAAGAACGCAGCGAAAUGCGAUAAGUAAUGUGAAUUGCAGAAUUCAGUGAAUCAUCGAAUCUUUGAACGCACCUUGCGCUCCUUGGUAUUCCGAGGAGCAUGCCUGUUUGAGUGUCAUGGAAUUCUCAACUUAUAAAUCCUUGUGAUCUAUAAGCUUGGACUUGGAGGCUUGCUGGCCCUUGCGGUCGGCUCCUCUUGAAUGCAUUAGCUUGAUUCCGUACGGAUCGGCUCUCAGUGUGAUAAUUGUCUACGCUGUGACCGUGAAGUGUUUUGGCAAGCUUCUAACCGUCCAUUAGGACAACUUUUUAACAUCUGACCUCAAAUCAGGUAGGACUACCCGCUGAACUUAAGCAUAUCAAUAAGCGGAGGA